RNAcentral lists this ribosomal RNA (253 nucleotides) under uncultured bacterium. Its description in RNAcentral is "partial 16S ribosomal RNA". It matches the Rfam family "Bacterial small subunit ribosomal RNA", at positions 524 to 776 of the family's 1533-position model. The record is from RNAcentral.
UACGGAGGGUGCGAGCGUUGUCCGGAAUCACUGGGCGUAAAGGGCGCGUAGGUGGCCGAGCAAGGUCGCGGUGAAAGCCCGGGGCUCAACCCCGGGUCGGCCGUGGCAACUACUGGGCUGGAGCACUGUAGGGGCGGGUGGAAUUCCGGGUGUAGCGGUGGAAUGCGUAGAGAUUGGCAGGAACACCCAGGGGGAAACCAGUCGACUGGGCAUCUACUGACGCUGAGGUGCGAGAGCGUGGGGAGCGAACCGG